AUGCUUUCCUAGACACCAAUUAGAUCAAUUAAUCUAAUAUGACUCGCUCAUGUUGGUUCACUCUCGACUUGAUUGAGGAGGUUUUAAUUUAGGUCUCAAUUGGGUUUGCUACAUCACAUGUAAACCAAUCUACCCGACUCUCAUUCACAUCACAUGCAAACGGCACAUUGCAGGCAGUUAUAAUCGCAGCAAUAAUUAAAGCUAAACUUUGAAUAGGUGAUGAUCAUGGAUUCUAGUUAGGUCAUAUUACAAGCACAUGCAUGUCAAUCGAUCAACUGGUCUUCAACUCUUGAAUUUGUUCCAAGCCUCCUUGAUUCGAUCCUUGACCAACUCUUGAUCCAAUCGCUAUCAACCGCUUAGACCCCUGCUCAUCUCAUGCAUCAUCUUCGACUUGAUCGUUGACGUACAUCACAUCACAGAAAUACAACCAGAUAUAAAAUAAAAAUAAAAAUAAAUUACAUCUUCCUUUUAGGAGGCAC
This 479-nucleotide long non-coding RNA is filed under the name Phoenix dactylifera (date palm). RNAcentral describes it as "long non-coding RNA (PDAC_LNC014731)". The record is from RNAcentral. Lineage: Eukaryota; Viridiplantae; Streptophyta; Magnoliopsida; Arecales; Arecaceae.